RNAcentral lists this transfer RNA (65 nucleotides) under Dipodomys ordii (Ord's kangaroo rat). It matches the Rfam family "tRNA". From Rfam's summary of the family: Transfer RNA (tRNA) molecules are approximately 80 nucleotides in length. Their secondary structure includes four short double-helical elements and three loops (D, anti-codon, and T loops). Lineage: Eukaryota; Metazoa; Chordata; Mammalia; Rodentia; Heteromyidae. The record is from Rfam by way of RNAcentral.
GGUGGCCCAAUGGUAGAGUGCUUGCCUUGCAUGCAUGAGGCCUUGGGUUCGAUUCCUCAGCACCA